Molecule: ribosomal RNA, 287 nt
Filed under: uncultured bacterium
Lineage: Bacteria
Description: partial 16S ribosomal RNA
Rfam family: Bacterial small subunit ribosomal RNA
Source: RNAcentral
UAUCACCUACGGGGCGCAGCAGUGGGGAAUAUUGGGCAAUGGGCGCAAGCCUGACCCAGCAACGCCGCGUGAAGGAAGAAGGCUUUCGGGUUGUAAACUUCUUUUCUCAGGGACGAAGAAAGUGACGGUACCUGAGGAAUAAGCCACGGCUAACUACGUGCCAGCAGCCGCGGUAAUACGUAGGUGGCAAGCGUUAUCCGGAUUUACUGGGUGUAAAGGGCGUGUAGGCGGGAGUGCAAGUCAGAUGUGAAAACCACGGGCUCAACCUGUGGCCUUCAUUUGAAACU